GUACGAUGUGUGUAGACAGGGCAGAGUAACUAGUAAUAGUAUAUAUAUAGUAAUGAAUAUCUGCUGCUGAUGGGAUGACUUCUCUAAGGUGAGUGACCGUACGGUGUGCGUGGACACCUGAGAGAACCAUAGGCCAGACUGAGCAUCUACCAUCCCACUAUCAGAUUAGGGAUGGUGGCAAUUUAUGCUUUUUGGCCCAAACUUUUUAUCUGACAUCACCCACUGAUUAACAUUGGGGUGGCAGGUAGCCUAGUGGUUAGAGUGUAGGGGCGGCAGGUAGCCUAGUGGGUAGAAGUGUAGGGGCGGCAGGUAGCCUAGUGGGUAGAGUGUAGGGGUGGCAGGUAGCCUAGUGGUUAGAGUGUAGGGGAGGCAGGUAGCCUGGUGGUUAGAGUGUAGGGGUGGCAGGUAGCCUAGUGGGUAGAGCGUUUGGCCAAGUAACCGAAAGGUUGCUGAAUCAAAUCCCCGAGCUGACAAGGUAAAAAUCUGUCGUUCUGCCCCUGAACAAGACUUGUAACCCAUUGUUCCCGGUAGGCUGUCAUUGUAAAUAAGAAAUUGUUCUUAAUUGACUUGCCUGGUUAAAUAACGGUUACAUUUUAAAAAACGUUAAAAAAUCUAACCAAAUACACUGACUGUUUAAAUCAAAACAACCAACACUGUUACCGUAAUUGCUGGACUAUUAAGCGCACCUGAAUAUAAACCGCACCC
Oncorhynchus tshawytscha (Chinook salmon) is the source of this 705-nucleotide long non-coding RNA. The record is from Ensembl. Lineage: Eukaryota; Metazoa; Chordata; Actinopteri; Salmoniformes; Salmonidae.